Molecule: long non-coding RNA, 587 nt
Filed under: Marmota monax (woodchuck)
Lineage: Eukaryota; Metazoa; Chordata; Mammalia; Rodentia; Sciuridae
Source: RNAcentral
UCUGUCUUCCUGAUGCUGGGGUAAGGUUUUAAUAGAAGCGUCGAGCACACAGCAGGCAGAACUAGUGACUGCACGGUUUCUGCCCUGGUGCCCCUACCUGCAGCAAGGGGAGCAAGGAGCGGGAGCCCCUGAGAUGGCCCUCAAUCUUCAGAGGGGGCUUUACUCCUUCCAGGGUGGAAAACAGGCUGCAUCCUGAGACUGUCUUGAGCACAUGUCCUUGGGGGGACAGUGAAAGUGAGGCGGGAGAAAGGCAGACCGGAUAGCUCCGUCGUCACUUGCAGAGACCCCUGGCCAGAGCUGAGGAGGGAGAGACAUGGAGACCAUGGGCAGCUGAACUUUCCUCCUGGUGAAAACAAAGCAAAAUGAAAGUGAAGUCUGGUGAAGCUAAAAGGAAACAUGAAACGCGGAUUGGAGAGCUUUGGCAGCAGGGAGGAGCGCACAUCCAGAAUGGCGUGUGGUAGGAGGCCCUCAGAGGGCCAGGCACAGAAAGCGAAGGGAGACCGGGAUCCUUUGUGCUGGGUGGUCAGGGGUCACCAUGUGGGAGGUGGAACUUGAGCUGAUCCUUGAGGGCCAAGUCUGGAAGACAG